RNAcentral lists this ribosomal RNA (402 nucleotides) under Bacteroidota bacterium. Its description in RNAcentral is "Bacteroidetes bacterium partial 16S ribosomal RNA". It matches the Rfam family "Bacterial small subunit ribosomal RNA", at positions 355 to 776 of the family's 1533-position model. The record is from RNAcentral. RNAcentral also lists the same sequence under 1 other name. Lineage: Bacteria; Pseudomonadati; Bacteroidota.
UGGGGAAUUUUGCACAAUGGGGGAAACCCUGAUGCAGCGACGCCGCGUGAUUUAGAAGGCCUUCGGGUUGUAAAAAUCUUUUCUAUGGGAAGAAAAUGACAGUACCAUAGGAAUAAGGACCGGCUAAUUACGUGCCAGCAGCCGCGGUAAUACGUAAGGUCCGAGCGUUGUCCGGAAUCAUUGGGCGUAAAGGGUACGUAGGCGGGUAAGCAAGUUAGAAGUGAAAUCCUGUAGCUCAACUACAGUAAGCUUUUAAAACUGCUCAUCUUGAGAUAUGGAAGGGAAAGUGGAAUUCCUAGUGUAGCGGUGAAAUGCGCAGAUAUUAGGAGGAAUACCGGUGGCGAAGGCGACUUUCUGGCCAUACUCUGACGCUGAGGUACGAAAGCGUGGGUAGCAAACAGG